This 492-nucleotide ribosomal RNA is filed under the name uncultured bacterium. RNAcentral's name for it is "partial 16S ribosomal RNA". It matches the Rfam family "Bacterial small subunit ribosomal RNA", at positions 29 to 507 of the family's 1533-position model. The record is from RNAcentral.
AGUGAACGCUGGCGGUAGGCCUAACACAUGCAAGUCGAACGGCAGCACAGUAAGAGCUUGCUCUUACGGGUGGCGAGUGGCGGAUGGGUGAGGAAUACAUCGGAAUCUACUUUUUCGUGGGGGAUAACGUAGGGAAACUUACGCUAAUACCGCAUACGACCUACGGGUGAAAGCAGGGGAUCUUCGGACCUUGCGCGAUUGAAUGAGCCGAUGUCGGAUUAGCUAGUUGGCGGGGUAAAGGCCCACCAAGGCGACGAUCCGUAGCUGGUCUGAGAGGAUGAUCAGCCACACUGGAACUGAGACACGGUCCAGACUCCUACGGGAGGCAGCAGUGGGGAAUAUUGGACAAUGGGCGCAAGCCUGAUCCAGCCAUACCGCGUGGGUGAAGAAGGCCUUCGGGUUGUAAAGCCCUUUUGUUGGGAAAGAAAAGCAGCAGGUUAAUACCCCGCUGUUCUGACGGUACCCAAAGAAUAAGCACCGGCUAACUUCGUG